RNAcentral lists this ribosomal RNA (789 nucleotides) under Setophoma poaceicola. RNAcentral describes it as "partial 28S large subunit ribosomal RNA". It matches the Rfam family "Eukaryotic large subunit ribosomal RNA", at positions 73 to 883 of the family's 3401-position model. Lineage: Eukaryota; Fungi; Ascomycota; Dothideomycetes; Pleosporales; Phaeosphaeriaceae. The record is from RNAcentral.
GUUGCCCUAGUAACGGCGAGUGAAGCGGCAACAGCUCAAAUUUGAAAUCUGGCUCUUUCAGAGUCCGAGUUGUAAUUUGCAGAGGGCGCUUUGGCGUUGGCAGCGGUCCAAGUUCUUUGGAACAGGACGUCACAGAGGGUGAGAAUCCCGUACGUGGUCGCUAGCCAUCACCGUGUAAAGCCCCUUCGACGAGUCGAGUUGUUUGGGAAUGCAGCUCUAAAUGGGAGGUAAAUUUCUUCUAAAGCUAAAUACUGGCCAGAGACCGAUAGCGCACAAGUAGAGUGAUCGAAAGAUGAAAAGCACUUUGGAAAGAGAGUCAAAUAGCACGUGAAAUUGUUGAAAGGGAAGCGCUUGCAGCCAGACUUGCCUGUAGUUGCUUACCUAGACUUUUGUCUGGGGCACUCUUCUGCAGGCAGGCCAGCAUCAGUUUGGGCGGUUGGAUAAAGGUCUCUGUCACGUACCUCCCUUCGGGGAGGCCUUAUAGGGGAGACGUAAUGCAACCAGCCUGGACUGAGGUCCGCGCAUCUGCUAGGAUGCUGGCGUAAUGGCUGUAAGCGGCCCGUCUUGAAACACGGACCAAGGAGUCUAACAUCUAUGCGAGUGUUUGGGUGUCAAGCCCAUACGCGUAAUGAAAGUGAACGGAGGUGGGAACCUUAGGGUGCACCAUCGACCGAUCCUGAUGUCUUCGGAUGGAUUUGAGUAAGAGCAUGGCUGUUGGGACCCGAAAGAUGGUGAACUAUGCUUGAAUAGGGUGAAGCCAGAGGAAACUCUGGUGGAGGCUCGCAGCGG